GUGACUGCGGAGGAUCAUUAUUGGAAUGAAAUCUUGGCUGCUGCUAUUGCUUGGGAGGCAAUGUGCACGCUGUUUGUCUAUUUCUUCCUGUGCACUAUUUUGUAGACCUUUGCCUGUCUAUGUAUCACAUAACCGUAUGAAUGGAUUGUUAAUACAUAUAUAUAUGUAUACAACUUUCAACAAUGGAUCUCUUGGCUCUCGCAUCGAUGAAGAACGCAGCGAAAUGCGAUAAGUAAUGUGAAUUGCAGAAUUCAGUGAAUCAUCGAAUCUUUGAACGCAUCUUGCGCUCCUUGGUAUUCCGAAGAGCAUGCUUGUUUGAGUGUCAUUAGUCUCUCUCAAAAUUAUUUGAGUAUUUGGGAGUCUUUUUUGCUGGCAGUUGUUUGAAGCUCCAGCUCUCCUUAAAUCCCUUGAGGAUGAAAUGUUUGGUGUGUGUGAUAAUCGUCUCUAUACCAAACUAGUAGUCCCUGCUAUCUAAUGAUUGACCUCAAAUCAAGCAAGACUACCCGCUGAACUUAAGCAUAUCAAUAAGCGGAGGAAAUGAAGACCUCGGAUCANGUANGAAUACCCGCUGAACUUAAGCAUAUCAAUAAGCGGAGGAA
RNAcentral lists this ribosomal RNA (599 nucleotides) under uncultured Amanitaceae. RNAcentral describes it as "eukaryotic LSU rRNA". The stretch from base 172 to 325 matches the Rfam family "5.8S ribosomal RNA". Lineage: Eukaryota; Fungi; Basidiomycota; Agaricomycetes; Agaricales; Amanitaceae. The record is from RNAcentral.